RNAcentral lists this long non-coding RNA (280 nucleotides) under Drosophila guanche. The record is from RNAcentral. Lineage: Eukaryota; Metazoa; Arthropoda; Insecta; Diptera; Drosophilidae.
CGCAAGCGCUCAACUGCUCUGACCUUGCAGCAUUGUUUGUUUGACAAAUUUGUAGCAGGCCACAGAAGCGGACCAGAAACCUGCGACCGGAUGCGCCUCGAAGUAUCAUGGCAAAUUAUGGAGAGCCACCAACUUGGCAGACAUCUCUCUGCCAGUAAAAGGUGUGUGUGUGUGUGUGCCAUGCCCUUCCUCUUAGCACCUUUUGCCGCAUGCGCAAUAAUUUCCAUAUUGCUUGCUGUUAUCAAUUAUGUCUGUGUUGUGUGGGGUGUUUAGCCGGUCC